RNAcentral lists this ribosomal RNA (497 nucleotides) under uncultured bacterium. RNAcentral's name for it is "partial 16S ribosomal RNA". It matches the Rfam family "Bacterial small subunit ribosomal RNA", at positions 28 to 507 of the family's 1533-position model. The record is from RNAcentral.
GAUGAACGCUGGCGGCGUGCCUAAUACAUGCAAGUCGAACGAACAGACGAGUCGCUUGCUCCUCUUACGUUAGCGGCGGGCGGCAGAGUAACGCGUGGCUCACCUCCCUAUAAUACUGGGGUAACUUCGGGACUCCGACGCUAAUACCGGAUGCUAUAUUGAACCGCAUGUUUCAAUAUUUUACGGCGGUUUUGCUGUCACCGAUAUAUGGGUCCGCGCCGCAUUAGCUGGUUGGUAAGGUAACGGCGUACUAAGGCAACGAUGCGUAGCCGACCGGAGAGGGUGAUCGGCCGCACUGGAACUGGGCCACGGACCAGACGCCUACGGGAGGGAGCAGUAGGGAAUCUGCCGCAAUGGUCGAAAGUAUUACGGAGCAACGGCGCGUGAGUUGUGAAGGUGUUCGGAGCGUAAAACCCUGUUAUUAGGGAAGAACAAAUGUGUAAGGAACUAUGCACGUCGUGACGGUACCUAAACAGAAAGCCACGGCUAACUACGUG